GGUCAAGAUAGAAAGGGCUGACGGUGGAAACCUUGGCACACAGAGGCGAAGAAGGACGUGGCGACCGACGAUAAACUCCGGGGAGCUGGAAGCGAGCGACGAGCCAGGGGUGUCCGAAUGGGGGAACCCAGAAACAGCCCACUGAAUCAAAUAGGUGGGCAUGAGCGAACCGGGCGAACUGAAACAUCUUAGUAGCCCGAGGAAAAGAAAGCAAAAGCGAUUUCCCGAGUAGUGGUGAGCGAAAGGGAAACAGCCUAAACCAGCCGGUUUACCGAUUGGGGUAGUGGGACAGCGACACUGGACUUAGAGAGUUAGACAAAGCAGAUGAAACCUGCACCAGAGAGGGUGAAAGUCCCGUAGUCGAAAACUCAAAAAGCCUAGCUGAAUCCCGAGUAGCACGGAGCCCGUGAAAGUCCGUGUGAAUCCGCCUCGACCACGAGGUAAGGCUAAAUACUCCUGUGUGACCGAUAGAGAAACAGUACCGUGAGGGAAAGGUGAAAAGAACCCCGGAAGGGGAGUGAAAUAGAACCUGAAACCGUCAGCUUACAAGCAGUGGGAGUCCGAUUAAACGGAUGACCGCGUGCCUGUUGAAGCAUGAGCCUGCGAGUUAAAGGCAAUGGCAGGUUAAGACAGAAAAUGUCGAAGCCCAAGCGAAAGCGAGUCUGAAGAGGGCGAAGUCGUCAUUGUUUUUAGACCCGAACCCGGGUGAUCUAACCCAUGUCCAGGAUGAAGCUUGGGUAAAACCAAUUGAAGGUCCGAACCGACCGAUGUUGAAAAAUCGGCGGAUGAGGUGUGGUUAGGGGUGAAAUGCCAAUCGAACCCGGAGCUAGCUGGUUCUCCCCGAAAUGUGUUGAGGCACAGCGGUUGUGGAAAAAUCUGGGGGGUAAAGCACUGUUUCGGUGCGGGCUGCGAGAGCGGUACCAAAUCGAGACAAACUCUGAAUACCCAGAGGAAGAACAACCAGUCAGACGGUGGGGGAUAAGCUCCAUCGUCAAGAGGGAAACAGCCCAGACCACCAGCUAAGGUCCCCAAAUCACCACUAGGUGAGAAAGGAGGUGGGAAUGCCGAGACAACCAGGAGGUUUGCCUAGAAGCAGCCAACCUUAAAAGAGUGCGUAAUAGCUCACUGGUCAAGCGUUGCUGCGCCGAAAAUGAACGGGGCUAAGUGGUGUACCGAAGCUGUGGAAUAUAAUUUAUUGUAUUGGUAGGGGAGCGUUCUGGCGUAGGGAGAAGCACUAGCGGAAGCAGGUGUGGACGAACCAGAAGUGAGAAUGUCGGCUUGAGUAGCGAAAAUGUAGGUGAGAAUCCUACACCCCGAAACCCUAAGGGUUCCUCCGCACGGCUCGUCCGCGGAGGGUGAGUCAGGGCCUAAGGCGAGGCUGAAGAGCGUAGUCGAUGGACAACCGGGCGAAAAAUCCCGUACCUUAGGUAAAAUUGUUCAGGGGAACGGAGAAGGUGUGUGCUAGCCCGGGAUGAUGGUUACCGGUGCAACCGUACGAGGUGUUGAGGUCUGGAGAAAAACAGACUGAGCUAAGGCGGGAGUCCGACCCUUUACGAAGGGGAAGUAGAGAAGCAUCAAGCUUCCAAGAAAAGCCCUAAAACCGUUAAUUUACCAACGCCUGUACCCGAAACCGACACAGGUAGGGAGGUUGAGAAAACUAAGGGGCGCGAGAUAACUCUCUCUAAGGAACUCGGCAAAAUGGCUCCGUAACUUCGGGAGAAGGAGUGCUUACGCAAGUAAGCCGCAGUGAAGAGGCCCAGGCGACUGUUUACCAAAAACACAGGUCUCCGCCAACUCGUAAGAGGAAGUAUGGGGGCUGACGCCUGCCCAGUGCCGGAAGGUUAAGGAAGUCGGUCAGGAGCAAUCUGAAGCUGAUGACUGAAGCCCCGGUGAACGGCGGCCGUAACUAUAACGGUCCUAAGGUAGCGAAAUUCCUUGUCGGGUAAGUUCCGACCCGCACGAAAGGCGUAACGAUCUGGGCACUGUCUCGGAGAGAGACUCGGCGAAAUAGAAUUGUCUGUGAAGAUACGGACUACCUGCACCUGGACAGAAAGACCCUAUGAAGCUUUACUGUAUCCUGGAAUUGGGUUCGGGCUUUGCUUGCGCAGAAUAGGUGGGAGGCGUGGAAGUCAUCCUUGUGGGGAUGAUGGAGCCAUCGGUGAGAUACCACUCUAGUAGAGCUAGAAUUCUAACUCUGACCCGUGAAUCCGGGUCGAAGACAGUUUCAGGGGGGCAGUUUGACUGGGGCGGUCGCCUCCUAAAAGGUAACGGAGGCGCGCAAAGGUUCCCUCAGAAUGGUUGGAAAUCAUUCGCAGAGUGUAAAGGCAUAAGGGAGCUUGACUGUGAGACCUACAAGUCGAACAGGGUGGAAACACGGCCUUAGUGAUCCGACGGUACUGUGUGGAAAGGCCGUCGCUCAACGGAUAAAAGUUACUCUAGGGAUAACAGGCUGAUCUCCCCCAAGAGUUCACAUCGACGGGGAGGUUUGGCACCUCGAUGUCGGCUCAUCGCAACCUGGGGCGGAAGUACGUCCCAAGGGUUGGGCUGUUCGCCCAUUAAAGCGGUACGUGAGCUGGGUUCAGAACGUCGUGAGACAGUUCGGUCCAUAUCCGGUGCAGGCGUAAGAGCAUUGAGAGGAGCCUUCCCUAGUACGAGAGGACCGGGAAGGACGCACCGCUGGUGUACCUGUUAUCGUGCCAACGGUAAACGCAGGGUAGCUAUGUGCGGAGUGGAUAACCGCUGAAAGCAUCUAAGUGGGAAGCCCACCUCAAGAUGAUUGCUCUCACCACUUUUUGUGGGUAAGGUCACGGGCAGAACACCCGUUUAUAGGUGUUAGGUCGAAGUUCAGCAAUGAAUGUAGCCAAGACACACUAACAGACCGAGGGCUUGACCUC
Ribosomal RNA from Planktothrix agardhii NIVA-CYA 126/8, 2894 nucleotides. It matches the Rfam family "Bacterial large subunit ribosomal RNA". Lineage: Bacteria; Bacillati; Cyanobacteriota; Cyanophyceae; Oscillatoriales; Microcoleaceae. The record is from Rfam.